This 771-nucleotide ribosomal RNA is filed under the name uncultured bacterium. RNAcentral's name for it is "bacterial SSU rRNA". It matches the Rfam family "Bacterial small subunit ribosomal RNA", at positions 8 to 796 of the family's 1533-position model. The record is from RNAcentral.
AGAGUUUGAUCCUGGCUCAGGACGAACGCUGGCGGCGUGCUUAACACAUGCAAGUCGAACGGAAAGGCCCUUCGGGGUACUCGAGUGGCGAACGGGUGAGUAACACGUGGGUGAUCUGCCCUGCACUUUGGGAUAAGCCUGGGAAACUGGGUCUAAUACCGAAUAUGACCAUGCACUUCCUGGUGUGUGGUGGAAAGCUUUUGCGGUGUGGGAUGGGCCCGCGGCCUAUCAGCUUGUUGGUGGGGUAAUGGCCUACCAAGGCGACGACGGGUAGCCGGCCUGAGAGGGUGACCGGCCACACUGGGACUGAGAUACGGCCCAGACUCCUACGGGAGGCAGCAGUGGGGAAUAUUGCACAAUGGGCGCAAGCCUGAUGCAGCGACGCCGCGUGAGGGAUGACGGCCUUCGGGUUGUAAACCUCUUUCAGCACAGACGAAGCGCAAGUGACGGUAUGUGCAGAAGAAGGACCGGCCAACUACGUGCCAGCAGCCGCGGUAAUACGUAGGGUGCGAGCGUUGUCCGGAAUUACUGGGCGUAAAGAGCUCGUAGGUGGUUUGUCGCGUUGUUCGUGAAAUCUCACGGCUUAACUGUGAGCGUGCGGGCGAUACGGGCAGACUUGAGUACUGCAGGGGAGACUGGAAUUCCUGGUGUAGCGGUGGAAUGCGCAGAUAUCAGGAGGAACACCGGUGGCGAAGGCGGGUCUCUGGGCAGUAACUGACGCUGAGGAGCGAAAGCGUGGGGAGCGAACAGGAUUAGAUACCCUGGUAGUCC